Molecule: transfer RNA, 68 nt
Filed under: Nestor notabilis (Kea)
Lineage: Eukaryota; Metazoa; Chordata; Aves; Psittaciformes; Psittacidae
Description: tRNA-Asp
Source: RNAcentral
GAGGUGUUAGUAAAUCAAUUACAUAGCCCUGUCAGAGCUAAAUCAUAGGUAGGCCCCUAUACACCUCU